This is a long non-coding RNA of Harmonia axyridis, 350 nucleotides long. RefSeq lists it as uncharacterized. The record is from RefSeq and is a predicted model, not a curated record. The transcript is spliced from 3 exons. NCBI's taxonomy places the organism in Eukaryota, Metazoa, Arthropoda, Insecta, Coleoptera, Coccinellidae.
GUACAUAUAAAUAAUCAAGCAUUGCAAUCUUUACCAUUGACAUUUUGAUAAUCGAAACAUAUCUGAUUCUACUGUUUGAGAUACCUCAAAGAAAACAAUCUUAAGAUAUGAAGAUCUACAUUUUAUUUGCUGCCUUAUUCCUAUUUUUCUGCAUUUGCCAGGCAGAGACAGAGCCUGAGAUUGCUAAACGAGCGGACGUAUAUGACGAUUUUAAGGCACUUGAAAUAGCAUUUGGAGAUUUGGUGAAGAGAGGAUAUGCAUUCUUAAAAGGAAUUCGUCUAUGGAUCAAAUAAAUUCAAAUCUGGGAGCACACUAGAAUGAAGGUUUCAAUAAAAUUGAAUUAAUAAUGA